AUACAGAGGGUGCGAGCGUUGUUCGGAAUUACUGGGCGUAAAGCGCGCGCAGGCGGCCCUUUAAGUCCGUCGGUCAAAUGCCGGGGCUCAACCCCGAGCGUGCCGAGGAUACUGGAGGGCUGGAGACACGUAGAGGCAAGCGGAAUUCCGGGUGUAGCGGUGGAAUGCGUAGAGAUCCGGAAGAACACCGGAGGCGAAGGUGGCUUGCUGGGCGUGAUCUGACGCUGAGGCGCGAAAGCGUGGGGAGCGAACAG
This 254-nucleotide ribosomal RNA is filed under the name uncultured prokaryote. RNAcentral describes it as "partial 16S ribosomal RNA". It matches the Rfam family "Bacterial small subunit ribosomal RNA", at positions 523 to 775 of the family's 1533-position model. The record is from RNAcentral.